Molecule: ribosomal RNA, 425 nt
Filed under: uncultured bacterium
Lineage: Bacteria
Description: partial 16S ribosomal RNA
Rfam family: Bacterial small subunit ribosomal RNA
Source: RNAcentral
GUGGGGAAUCUUAGACAAUGGGCGCAAGCCUGAUCUAGCCAUGCCGCGUGAGCGAUGAAGGCCUUAGGGUUGUAAAGCUCUUUCGUGGGGGAAGAUAAUGACUGUACCCCAAGAAGAAGCCCCGGCUAACUCCGUGCCAGCAGCCGCGGUAAUACGGAGGGGGCUAGCGUUGUUCGGAAUUACUGGGCGUAAAGCGCACGUAGGCGGACUGGAAAGUCAGGGGUGAAAUCCCGGGGCUCAACCCCGGAACUGCCUUUGAAACUCCCAGUCUUGAGUUCGAGAGAGGUGAGUGGAAUUCCGAGUGUAGAGGUGAAAUUCGUAGAUAUUCGGAGGAACACCAGUAGCGAAGGCGGCUCACUGGCUCGAUACUGACGCUGAGGUGCGAAAGCGUGGGGAGCAAACAGGAUUAGAAACCCUGGUAGUCC